This 301-nucleotide ribosomal RNA is filed under the name uncultured bacterium. Its description in RNAcentral is "partial 16S ribosomal RNA". It matches the Rfam family "Bacterial small subunit ribosomal RNA", at positions 509 to 808 of the family's 1533-position model. The record is from RNAcentral.
CAGCCGCCGCGGUAAUACGUAGGUGGCGAGCGUUGUCCGGAAUCAUUGGGCGUAAAGGGAGCGCAGGCGGGCAUGUAAGUCUUUCUUAAAAGUGCGGGGCUCAACCCCGUGAUGGGAAAGAAACUAUGUGUCUUGAGUACAGGAGAGGAAAGCGGAAUUCCCAGUGUAGCGGUGAAAUGCGUAGGUAUCGGGAGGAACACCAGUGGCGAAGGCGGCUUUAUGGACUGUAACUGACGCUGAGGCGCGAAAGCAUGGGGAGCAAACAGGAUUAGAUACCCCUGUAGUCCCUGUCUCUUAUACA